RNAcentral lists this ribosomal RNA (495 nucleotides) under uncultured bacterium. RNAcentral's name for it is "partial 16S ribosomal RNA". It matches the Rfam family "Bacterial small subunit ribosomal RNA", at positions 30 to 507 of the family's 1533-position model. The record is from RNAcentral.
UGACCGCUGGCGGCGUGCCUAAUACAUGCAAGUCGAGCGAACAGACGAGGAGCUUGCUCCUCUGACGUUAGCGGCGGACGGGUGAGUAACACGUGGAUAACCUACCUAUAAGACUGGGAUAACUUCGGGAAACCGGGGCUAAUACCGGAUAAUAUAUUGAACCGCAUGGUUCAAUAGUGAAAGACGGUUUUGCUGUCACUUAUAGAUGGAUCCGCGCCGCAUUAGCUAGUUGGUAAGGUAACGGCUUACCAAGGCAACGAUGCGUAGCCGACCUGAGAGGGUGAUCGGCCACACUGGAACUGAGACACGGUCCAGACUCCUACGGGAGGCAGCAGUAGGGAAUCUUCCGCAGUGGGCGAAAGCCUGACGGAGCAACGCCGCGUGAGUGAUGAAGGUCUUCGGAUCGUAAAACUCUGUUAUUAGGGAAGAACAAAUGUGUAAGUAACUAUGCACGUCUUGACGGUACCUAAUCAGAAAGCCACGGCUAACUACGUG